GGAUACAGGUCGCGUUGUUGUGGAUCGAUCUCCUCCACGGCGACGGCGUCGCAAAAGGCGGAUACGGGUUUGGCGGCGGCCACGAUGAUUAGCUCGUGGAGAUAUUGUGGCGAGCGACCGAGAUAUCGCAGCUAGCAAAAUCCCUACGACCACUUUCCAUGGCGGAGGAGGAGCAGGAUGGGGCCUGGGCGCACGAGAUCCCUCCAACCCAGCUGCCAAGAUCCCUCCGAGACCACGCCGACCUAAUCCGAGACUACAUGGUGCUACUUUAACUUAGAAUACAACUUGACAGUAUUCAGAACAUGGCGGUGGGAUGAUGCUGGCAGGAGGAAAAGAAGGAUGCAAUUUCUGAAGGUUUAUAUUUACUAUUUUGAGGAUGACAGGUAUGGAAUUUCGCAAUGGUACUAUGUGUCCUAUACUUAUAGUUAAGUAGCGAUGGUGGCGCAAGGGCGACAUGGUUCUAUCGACGCGGCAGCGGGGGCCGAGGAGACACAGUGCAUCCCGCACGUUUGCUUGUUGGCUGGUCUCCUAAAUACCUGCACACUACAUCUACACUAAGUCACUGAUGGUUCUUGUUUAAAAUCGUGGUCUUGAAUUCUUGAUAUGAUUACAUGUAAGCUGGGGGUAAGUAGGCAAUUAUUUCAUGUUUAAUCUUGUCACUUGGUCGGUCCAUGGAAAAUGAAAACUCCUAUAAGAAAUUAGUAAUAUAUUGUGCAGUAAAACUUCUCGGGCGCCUUUAAGCAUGAUUUAAGUGUCUACAAGAUUUAGCUUAACCAACAAUAUUUGACAAUGCUUUGAGAGAUAUUUACGUGAUGAUAGAAAUAACAACUUUUGUAACAAAUAGUUAAAUAUGAUUUGGAAUUCCUUAUUGAAAAUUUAGUAUUUUAUUUACUGAAUUUUGUUUCAGUUCAUGUUUAUCCUUUUCUAAAAAAGUUGUUUGCAUCAGAUUACUUUUUGUUUUUCGCCAUCAGACUAAUUGAGUCAGAAAAUAUAAUGCGGAGAUGGGAGGAGAAGAAAGCAAAGGAAAUUGGUAUGUGCUGUCUACCUUUAAUGGCUAGCGAAGCAAGGUGAUUGAUUCACAAAACCCAUUCCAUAUUUACCCGCUUAAAUAUACUCUUGUAUAUCACCUGAUUAACAAAAAAAAAUCUCCGUCCAAUGGAUUCCAGAAUGCUAGGCACCGCACGCUGCAGCCAAGGAUCAUGAUACUUACCUGACAAGUACUAUAAUUUCCAAGAUAGAGGCUAUGAUGCCAUGCAAUGCAUCUAACGAACCUCACUGAUGGAUUCAUUAGCAUGCAUCGACUAUUGCAGAAUUCCCAAGCCAGAGGCUAUGAUACCAUGAAAUUUGGCUAAAGAAGCAGGUGCAAGAUGUUUGGGAAGGCUGGUGGCCGGAAGGGGGAGCUACCACAGCAGCCGUGGGCACUGGCUUCACAGAUGUGACAAAUCGAAGGAGCUCAUUGUGUUUCACCGUAGGCUGGACAGAGUGGAAGCCUUAACUCCUACCUGCGUGCUCGCUCUCCGUCACCGGCACAUCGUGGAGGCCGCACCCCUGCCGGAGGGCUCGCUCCGAGCAACCGCCCCAUUGCCCCACCCCACCCUGGUGGGGCUUCACUGUCGUCAAGUGGAGAUACAUCCAUCCGAGCUCAUACUCGACAUUGGCAGUAACCCUACUCUCAAAUUGCGUAAUUAAUUGAUAUUUUUCUUCUCUGUUGUGAUGCAAAUCAAAUCCUUUCUCAUCACUCCAGUUCUCUAUAGAGUUAUUACUGCAAUAUUUUUUCUGAGGAUUUUGUAUGUACGAUUCAGGUUCAGCUAAACCCCCAUGCCACACGUGAACGCCAAGGCAGCUGUGGCACCGCCAAGGAAGUGAAAGGGUGGAUCCAGCGCUGGAGACGAUGGUGUUGCUCGCAUGUCUGGACCAGGCCCUGAAGCGCUGGAGACGAUGGUGUUGCUUUCACGGACGUGCAACUAAGCUUUGACCGCCGCCUCUUCAAGGUGUAACAGGAAACUGAUGCAUAGAGUUUGGUAGAAGAUUAGAAAAAGCCGAUGUACAUGACCAAGACACUUCUUGAUUGAAGAAUAUAGCUUGCAAAGAUUACGACUAAGCUUCUAGCUAGGAGGUGACAAUUAGUAAAAUUAUUGGAUCAUCUUUUAUGAUGGUGUACUGUGCUUAGAUAUAUGUGUGUAGUACUGAAGUGGGAAGAGUCAAGUGAAACGAAGAUUGCUUGUAAUGCAUGAACAGUUGCGAGUGUACCAGUUAGAUCAACUUUAUACUAUACAUUGGUCUUCUUAGUUGA
This is a long non-coding RNA of Lolium rigidum, 2293 nucleotides long. RefSeq lists it as uncharacterized. NCBI's taxonomy places the organism in Eukaryota, Viridiplantae, Streptophyta, Magnoliopsida, Poales, Poaceae. The transcript has 4 exons. The record is from RefSeq and is a predicted model, not a curated record.